UGGCAAUCUGAAGAAUGGCCAGGAGAUGGGGAGCAGGAAGGUCUGCAAGAGGAUGGCUAAAGGGAUCAGGGCAGGAAAUACUAAGAGGUGCAUGGACGUUCCUUCAAGGCCUUUCCUCCUGUUUCCGUUGCAGAACUGCAGGUGCCGUAGGGGAAGGAGUUCAUCCCCUCGCCCGAGCAACUCGCGAGGGAUGAAUUCUUCCUCUUCUCCCUGCCAGGAAGCCUGGGGGAGGGACCAGGACACACUCCCCUUUUCCAAGGAUGCUGCGGCCCAUGUGGUUGGGGACAUCCUUGACAGAUUCCAAAAAUUCCUGGACCCCCGAAAAUUGUCAAAAUGGCCCUAGAGGCGGUUUAUGAAGUCAGCUUCAUGAACCCCCCGUUUGAGGAGCACCAGAGGGCCGCCCUAAUAAAUGUGUCCAUCCAGAGGACUCCAGAUAGAAGAAUUGGAAAACGAUCAUGUCCAUACCCAGAGACGAGUUCCCAGAGAUGUUCCUCUUCUCAGACCCAGAUUUUAUGGGCAGCGAUGAUGGAGGGACCAUAGUGUGGGGUUUAUGUUUCUGUGGGUUUUAUUGAAGUUUUGUUGUUUGUUGUCACUUUUAUCA
Long non-coding RNA from Rhineura floridana, 601 nucleotides. RefSeq lists it as uncharacterized. The transcript is spliced from 4 exons. The record is from RefSeq and is a predicted model, not a curated record. NCBI's taxonomy places the organism in Eukaryota, Metazoa, Chordata, Lepidosauria, Squamata, Rhineuridae.